AUGGAUCCGAUUAAGCCUUGGGUGGGGCUAGGGAACCCAUAUGACAGUGCUGACCGCGACAUCUUUGCGGCUGCUACCAAAGUGGAGAUUGGUGAUGGCCUUCGUGCUUCUUUCUGGGAGUCUGCCUGGCUUGGGGGGCUGAGGCCCAAAGAUAUUGCUCCCCACAUAUUCUUGCUGUCCAUAAGAAAGAACUGCUCGGUCCAAAAGGCGAUACACAACAACUUUUGGGUCUCCCAAAUUAACAUCAACGCGGGCAUCUCCGUUCAUCAUCUAACUGAGUUCGUCAAUCUAUGGGAAAAGCUCUGCCCCAUUCACCUCAACCCGGAGAGGACGGAUACCAUCUCCUGGAAGCUAACGAAUGAUGGCCACUACUCCGCCGCAUCGGCAUAUGAGGUCCAGUUUAGGAGCUUAGUUGACACGGAGCAUGUGCAAACGGUCUGGAAGAAUUGGGCUCCUCCAAAAUGCAAGUUUUUCGAUUGGCUUGUCAUCAACAACAGGGUUUGGACGGCAGACCGGCUGCAGCGUCGUGGAUGGCCUAAUUGCAACCUUUGCCCCCUUUGUAAACAAGUCCAAAAAUCAUCGGCACGCCUUCUCUUCCAAUGCAGAUACACAGCUAGAAUUUGGGAUUUGAUCAAGGUUUAGCUUGGCCUUCAUGACGUGAACCUCGUGGAGUGGGGUCACAUGAAUUCAGUUAAAGAUUGGUGGAGCCUUAACGCAACCAGGAAGACGCAGUCCAAAAAGCCGCUCAUCUCCCUCAUGCUACUCGUUUCGUGGGAAAUUUGGAAGGAACGGAACGCAAGGGUCUUCCGCAACUUGGCGGUGCCAGUUGGUAUUAUUGUUCCUAGGAUCAAAGAAUAG
RNAcentral lists this ribosomal RNA (858 nucleotides) under Triticum aestivum (bread wheat). RNAcentral's name for it is "partial small subunit ribosomal RNA". Lineage: Eukaryota; Viridiplantae; Streptophyta; Magnoliopsida; Poales; Poaceae. The record is from RNAcentral.